UUGUGUUGAACUUUCCAAUUGAACAACCAUUUUUACCCAAAGAGGUCGGCAUGCCUUGAAAUUAAGAUUGUUACACCACAUCUUAUCCAUGUGUCAUCAAUCGAAUCAGUAACAAAACAUCCCUUAUGGACUUUGAGAUAGAUGUUCUUCAUCCAUGUGACCUUGUACGGAUCUAUGCUUUGGCUUGCUCUUUAGCUUAAACUUAUUGAUACUAUCUUCAAAAAUGAUAUUUGUGCAACUACUGGAGUCAAUACUAAAAGUGCAAAGAUGCCCAAUGCACUGGAUUUAGAUAUUGAAAAG
Molecule: long non-coding RNA, 300 nt
Filed under: Phoenix dactylifera (date palm)
Lineage: Eukaryota; Viridiplantae; Streptophyta; Magnoliopsida; Arecales; Arecaceae
Description: long non-coding RNA (PDAC_LNC008815)
Source: RNAcentral